RNAcentral lists this ribosomal RNA (1925 nucleotides) under Shigella flexneri. RNAcentral describes it as "partial 23S ribosomal RNA". It matches the Rfam family "Bacterial large subunit ribosomal RNA", at positions 1033 to 2925 of the family's 2925-position model. The record is from RNAcentral. Lineage: Bacteria; Pseudomonadati; Pseudomonadota; Gammaproteobacteria; Enterobacterales; Enterobacteriaceae.
CGCCAGCUAAGGUCCCAAAGUCAUGGUUAAGUGGGAAACGAUGUGGGAAGGCCCAGACAGCCAGGAUGUUGGCUUAGAAGCAGCCAUCAUUUAAAGAAAGCGUAAUAGCUCACUGGUCGAGUCGGCCUGCGCGGAAGAUGUAACGGGGCUAAACCAUGCACCGAAGCUGCGGCAGCGACGCUUAUGCGUUGUUGGGUAGGGGAGCGUUCUGUAAGCCUGUGAAGGUGUGCUGUGAGGUAUGCUGGAGGUAUCAGAAGUGCGAAUGCUGACAUAAGUAACGAUAAAGCGGGUGAAAAGCCCGCUCGCCGGAAGACCAAGGGUUCCUGUCCAACGUUAAUCGGGGCAGGGUGAGUCGACCCCUAAGGCGAGGCCGAAAGGCGUAGUCGAUGGGAAACAGGUUAAUAUUCCUGUACUUGGUGUUACUGCGAAGGGGGGACGGAGAAGGCUAUGUUGGCCGGGCGACGGUUGUCCCGGUUUAAGCGUGUAGGCUGGUUUUCCAGGCAAAUCCGGAAAAUCAAGGCCGAGGCGUGAUGACGAGGCACUACGGUGCUGAAGCAACAAAUGCCCUGCUUCCAGGAAAAGCCUCUAAGCAUCAGGUAACAUCAAAUCGUACCCCAAACCGACACAGGUGGUCAGGUAGAGAAUACCAAGGCGCUUGAGAGAACUCGGGUGAAGGAACUAGGCAAAAUGGUGCCGUAACUUCGGGAGAAGGCACGCUGAUACGUAGGUGAAGCGACUUGCUCGUGGAGCUGAAAUCAGUCGAAGAUACCAGCUGGCUGCAACUGUUUAUUAAAAACACAGCACUGUGCAAACACGAAAGUGGACGUAUACGGUGUGACGCCUGCCCGGUGCCGGAAGGUUAAUUGAUGGGGUUAGCGCAAGCGAAGCUCUUGAUCGAAGCCCCGGUAAACGGCGGCCGUAACUAUAACGGUCCUAAGGUAGCGAAAUUCCUUGUCGGGUAAGUUCCGACCUGCACGAAUGGCGUAAUGAUGGCCAGGCUGUCUCCACCCGAGACUCAGUGAAAUUGAACUCGCUGUGAAGAUGCAGUGUACCCGCGGCAAGACGGAAAGACCCCGUGAACCUUUACUAUAGCUUGACACUGAACAUUGAGCCUUGAUGUGUAGGAUAGGUGGGAGGCUUUGAAGUGUGGACGCCAGUCUGCAUGGAGCCGACCUUGAAAUACCACCCUUUAAUGUUUGAUGUUCUAACGUGGACCCGUGAUCCGGGUUGCGGACAGUGUCUGGUGGGUAGUUUGACUGGGGCGGUCUCCUCCUAAAGAGUAACGGAGGAGCACGAAGGUUGGCUAAUCCUGGUCGGACAUCAGGAGGUUAGUGCAAUGGCAUAAGCCAGCUUGACUGCGAGCGUGACGGCGCGAGCAGGUGCGAAAGCAGGUCAUAGUGAUCCGGUGGUUCUGAAUGGAAGGGCCAUCGCUCAACGGAUAAAAGGUACUCCGGGGAUAACAGGCUGAUACCGCCCAAGAGUUCAUAUCGACGGCGGUGUUUGGCACCUCGAUGUCGGCUCAUCACAUCCUGGGGCUGAAGUAGGUCCCAAGGGUAUGGCUGUUCGCCAUUUAAAGUGGUACGCGAGCUGGGUUUAGAACGUCGUGAGACAGUUCGGUCCCUAUCUGCCGUGGGCGCUGGAGAACUGAGGGGGGCUGCUCCUAGUACGAGAGGACCGGAGUGGACGCAUCACUGGUGUUCGGGUUGUCAUGCCAAUGGCACUGCCCGGUAGCUAAAUGCGGAAGAGAUAAGUGCUGAAAGCAUCUAAGCACGAAACUUGCCCCGAGAUGAGUUCUCCCUGACCCUUUAAGGGUCCUGAAGGAACGUUGAAGACGACGACGUUGAUAGGCCGGGUGUGUAAGCGCAGCGAUGCGUUGAGCUAACCGGUACUAAUGAACCGUGAGGCUUAACCUUACAACGCCGAAG